Molecule: ribosomal RNA, 395 nt
Filed under: uncultured bacterium
Lineage: Bacteria
Description: partial 16S ribosomal RNA
Rfam family: Bacterial small subunit ribosomal RNA
Source: RNAcentral
CCUACGGGCGGCAGCAGUGAGGAAUAUUGGUCAAUGGGCGCGAGCCUGAACCAGCCAAGUCGCGUGAGGGAAGACGGCCCUAUGGAUUGUAAACUUCUUUUGUAGGGGAGCAAAAGACGCCACGCGUGGCGUUUCGUGCGUACCCGAAGAAUAAGCAUCGGCGAACUCCGUGCCAGCAGCCGCGGUAAUAGGGAGGAUGCGGGCGUGUUCCGGAUUUAUGGGGUUAAAGGGGUGCGCAGGGGGAAGAUCAAGUGGUCGGGAAAAUUGGCGGGCUCAACAUCUUCGUGCCGUUGAAACUGGGUUUCUUGAGUGCUCGAGAAGUAGGCGGAAUUCGUGGUGUAGCGGUGAAAUGCAUAGAUAUCACGAAGAACUCCGAUUGCGAAGGCAGCAUACUG